CAGUCGCCACGGGAAUACGUAAGGUGCGAGCGUUAAUCGGAAUUACUGGGCGUAAAGCGUGCGCAGGCGGUUCGUUAAGACAGAUGUGAAAUCCCCGGGCUUAACCUGGGAACUGCAUUUGUGACUGGCGAGCUAGAGUAUGGCAGAGGGGGGUAGAAUUCCACGUGUAGCAGUGAAAUGCGUAGAGAUGUGGAGGAAUACCGAUGGCGAAGGCAGCCCCCUGGGCCAAUACUGACGCUCAUGCACGAAAGCGUGGGGAGCAAACAGAAUUAGAUACCCGCGUAGUCCCUGUCUCUUAUAC
This 301-nucleotide ribosomal RNA is filed under the name uncultured bacterium. Its description in RNAcentral is "partial 16S ribosomal RNA". It matches the Rfam family "Bacterial small subunit ribosomal RNA", at positions 509 to 807 of the family's 1533-position model. The record is from RNAcentral.